CAGCCGCCGCGGGAAUACGAAGGGGGCUAGCGUUGUUCGGAUUAACUGGGCGUAAAGGGCGCGUAGGCGGGUUUUUAAGUCAGAGGUGAAAUCCCAAGGCUCAACCUUGGAACUGCCUUUGAUACUGGAAGUCUUGAGUCCGGGAGAGGUGAGUGGAACUGCGAGUGUAGAGGUGAAAUUCGUAGAUAUUGUGAAGAACACCGGUGGCGAAGGCGGCGACCUGGUCCAUAACUGACGCUGAGGCGCGAAAGCGUGGGGAGCAAACAGGAUUAGAGACCCGAGUAGUCCCUGUCUCUUAUAC
Molecule: ribosomal RNA, 301 nt
Filed under: uncultured bacterium
Lineage: Bacteria
Description: partial 16S ribosomal RNA
Rfam family: Bacterial small subunit ribosomal RNA
Source: RNAcentral